Molecule: ribosomal RNA, 99 nt
Filed under: uncultured bacterium
Lineage: Bacteria
Description: partial 16S ribosomal RNA
Rfam family: Bacterial small subunit ribosomal RNA
Source: RNAcentral
UUGGGUUAAGUCCCGCAACGAGCGCAACCCUUGUCCUUAGUUGCCAGCGAGUAAUGUCGGGAACUCUAAGGAGACUGCCGGUGACAGAUGAUUGGGGUG